CCAUAUAUCAUUUAGUGUAGCGGUAAAUGUAUCUUAGUACUUAUUAAUAGGCCAUGGGGUCGAUUGAAGAUAUCUGUAACAGCCCGUAUUUUUAAGCAUGUUUUAAAUUAAGUAAAUUGUGUUUAUUAAUUUAACUAAACUUUAUAUCAAUAAGAGAUCAUUUGAGAAUUUGAUUAUUAUAUUCUAAAUUGUGUUGUGGAAAUUUUUGGGAGUAAAAAUGUUUUGGAGAUUGAUAAUUAAAUUUCAGAUUCUCUUUUAAAGGAAAGAAAAGAAAUUACUUUUAGGUGGCAUAUGUGGGAAAUGCCACAUACUUGUUAUGUGUCAAACCCUCAUGCUUCUCCAUCAAAGAAAUGAAACUCAAACCCUUUAAACUCUCUCUCUCUCUCUCGUGUUCUCUGUCUCUCAAAACCCCAAAAAACAAAAAAAAAAUUGAAAACCCCACAUCCUUAAUCUCUCUCGUCCCUUGCUUUCUGCCUCGCCGGAAUUGUGCCUCUCCUCGCCGGCGUUCUUGAAGCUCGUCGGAGCCGCACUCUAUUUUUCCCUUCGUGUUUUCUCUCUCCUCCGUUAAUUGUUGCGGUCGUCGGUGCUCGGUCAACAUUCCGGCACCGUCGCUGCUGCUGUAUGAUUUGUGUCGUUCGGUGGUUGUUUUCUCUCUCCUCUAUUAUUUGUUGCGGUCGUCGGUGCUCGGUGGAAUUGCACCGCCACUGCUACUGUUUCCGGUGCUCUUCGCCGGCGACUGCCCCUGUUGUUCCGCGUGGUGCGACUGCUGUUACAGCAGUGUUGAUGCUGCUAUUGUUGCCUGUUUUCUCUACCUCUUGAUAAUUCUUGAGUUGCAUGGUAUGAUACUCCUUCUUAGCUAUAUCAUUUUAGAUUAUAAACUGAUUUAAAUCAGAUUUCUAAGAUGUUGUUGAGAUUAAAGAUUGGAAGUUAUAUCAUCCUUUAUUUGUAUCUCUUCUAAUUAUGAACAAGUGUGAGUAUGUUGAGUUUAUAAUCUAGUCUCGUUAAUUUCAGAUUUUGAAAACAACAAUUUGAAUAUCAGUUGGCAAAAUUAGUUUUGUCAAAUAAAUUUAACUCCUAAUCUUGUUACGAAAAUCAGAUAUGAUAAAAGUUUGUUCAACUUAAAGAUUAAAUCUUUCCUAUUUAUUUAAUGGGUUGAAUUGAGGCUUAUAAUUUGUAUUUAUAUUUCUUAAUUUGGUUUAUGAAAUCAAAUUUCAAUAAGCCAUGUUGUUUGAUAGUAUCCUCCAUCUGUGAAUUAGAGUGACGUUAAUUGGAGUUAGAGAUUGAUAUAGUGAAGUGGAUUAGUAGAAUGGUUUGUAAAUAAGGAGUUGGGGGUCGUUCAUGAGAGAGGUUAGAAUGUAUGAGAAAGUUAAUUUCUUUAUCUAAUUGGUAGUAAGGAUGUUAAUUGUUGUUCAUAUUGUUGUGAGGUGAUUGUUGGAGAUUGAUAAAGAAUUUGGAAAUGUUGGAAUCUUGAAGAUUAUUAUGAAUUGAGCAUUCUUUGGGGGAAAUGAAAGAGAGUUCAUUGUUAGUGAUCUUGCAGGUUCGUGCGUGGAAAGCUCGGAAUGGAGUAAAAGGAAGAAUUUAGGUAUCAAGGUUAUAGUGAGAUGUAAUGGUUCAGAGUUUGUAUUGGGGUUAUAUAACCUUAUUUGUGAUGAAAUUAUUGUAUUGCUUUAGAAGUCGAGCAAGGUAUUAUUGUAAUAUGUUAUUGGUUAUUGAGGAUGUGUUGUGGGCCCAUAACCCACAGGUCCAGGAUCGUGUAUUGAAGGUUUUAUUCCGCUGCGAAUAAAUAAUUAAUUCGAGGCUAUUAAGUGUUAAUUGAGUCUUA
Long non-coding RNA from Beta vulgaris subsp. vulgaris (sugar beet), 1822 nucleotides. RefSeq lists it as uncharacterized. NCBI's taxonomy places the organism in Eukaryota, Viridiplantae, Streptophyta, Magnoliopsida, Caryophyllales, Amaranthaceae. The transcript has 2 exons. The record is from RefSeq and is a predicted model, not a curated record.